UACGAGGGGGGCAAGUGUUGUUCGGAAUCACUGGGCGUAAAGGGAGCGUAGGCGGGCGCUUAAGUUGGAUGUUUAAAGCAGGGGCCUAACCCCUGUUGUGCAUCCAAAACUGGGCGUCUUGAAUGGGACAGAGGCCGGUGGAAUUGGAGGUGUAGCGGUGGAAUGCGUAGAGAUCUCCAAGAACACCCGUUGCGAAGGCGGCCGGCUGGGUCCACAUUGACGCUGAGGCUCGAAAGCGUGGGGAGCAAACAGG
RNAcentral lists this ribosomal RNA (253 nucleotides) under uncultured bacterium. RNAcentral describes it as "partial 16S ribosomal RNA". It matches the Rfam family "Bacterial small subunit ribosomal RNA", at positions 524 to 776 of the family's 1533-position model. The record is from RNAcentral.